AGUUUGAUCAUGGCUCAGAUUGAACGUGGCGGCAGGCCUAGCACGUGCAAGUCGAACGGUAACAGGAAGCAGCUUGCUGCUUUGCUGACGAGUGGCGGACGGGUGAGUAAUGUCUGGGAAACUGCCUGAUGGAGGGGGAUAACUACUGGAAACGGUAGCUAAUACCGCAUAACGUCGCAAGACCAGAGGGGGACCUUCGGGCCUCUUGCCAUCGGAUGUGCCCAGAUGGGAUUAGCUAGUAGGUGGGGUAACGGCUCACCUAGGCGACGAUCCCUAGCUGGUCUGAGAGGAUGACCAGCCACACUGGAACUGAGACACGGUCCAGACUCCUACGGGAGGCAGCAGUGGGGAAUAUUGCACAAUGGGCGCAAGCUGAUGCAGCCAUGCCGCGUGUAUGAAGAAGGCCUUCGGGUUGUAAAGUACUUUCAGCGGGGAGGAAGGUGUUGAGGUUAAUAACCUCAGCAAUUGACGUUACCGCAGAAGAAGCACCGGCUAACUCCGUGCCAGCAGCC
Molecule: ribosomal RNA, 512 nt
Filed under: uncultured bacterium
Lineage: Bacteria
Description: bacterial SSU rRNA
Rfam family: Bacterial small subunit ribosomal RNA
Source: RNAcentral